RNAcentral lists this long non-coding RNA (677 nucleotides) under Monodelphis domestica (gray short-tailed opossum). Its description in RNAcentral is "lncRNA (ENSMODG00000035469.2)". The record is from RNAcentral. Lineage: Eukaryota; Metazoa; Chordata; Mammalia; Didelphimorphia; Didelphidae.
GUAGAAGGCAAGAGAAUGAAUAAUCAAACACCACAGUAAGCUACGGACACAUUCCCUAAGCAAAUAGAAAUAUAAAGAAACCAAAUUAUUAGGCACAUUUGUGGGGAAAUCUUUAUUUCUUAGGUGAUUCAUAAUUCUAAACUGCAAUCCUUUAUGUCUUUGAUCGUACUAGGUGAAAUCUGUACAUCACACCAUGAAAUUGCUUCUCUACUAGUUACUUUUAUUCUGAUAUUCACAGGAAACGUAAGGACGCCACAUGGUGACCUCUUUUCUUCUCAUAGAGAACUCUUUGAAGUCUAAUCCUAUGAAACGCAAAUGUCCCAGGCCAAAAAUGCAACUACUUUCAGCUUUUCUACAUAUUUCUCAGGCUCUUUUCCUCUAAAAGAUCAUCAACCCAAGAACCUGUAUAAGAAAGAGUAAGUAAUUAAAAAAUAAUUUAAUAGAUAUGAGAACCAAUUGAUAUGUGUCCUCUAUACAAUUAACAAAUCAUAACCCAUCCAUUUGGACUUUCUAAUUGUGGGUAACCUAUUUCCAUGUUCUUUCAUAAAUCUUCCAGAGGAAGUCCACCCACCCAACAAGUUAUAUGUCAUCCCCUAGCUCUAUAAACAUUUCACUGUUACUGACUGAGUAUACAGUCUACCAAUUGGUCAUUUCUCCUUCCCAUUGUAUCAUCGAUC